This 405-nucleotide unclassified non-coding RNA is filed under the name soil metagenome. Its description in RNAcentral is "partial contains 5.8S ribosomal RNA, internal transcribed spacer 2, and large subunit ribosomal RNA". The stretch from base 1 to 121 matches the Rfam family "5.8S ribosomal RNA", at positions 35 to 154 of the family's 154-position model. The record is from RNAcentral.
GAUGAAGAACGUAGUGAAAUGCGAUAAGUAAUGUGAAUUGCAGAAUUCAGUGAAUCAUCGAAUCUUUGAACGCACCUUGCGCCCUUUGGACAUUCCGAAGGGCAUGCCUGUUUGAGUAUCAUGAACACCUCAACUCUCACGGCUUGUCCGUGAUGAGCUUGGACUUUGGGGGUCUUGCCGGCCUGUGGUCGGCUCCUCUCAAAUGGAUCAGCUUGCCAGUGUUUGGUGGCAUCACAGGUGUGAUAACUAUCUGCGCUUGUGGUUUUCCAUCAGAUAACCUUCAGUGAUAUGGAGGUUCGCUGGAGCUCACACAUGUCUCUCCUUAGUGAGGACAGCUCUUUGAACGUUUGAUCUCAAAUCAGGUAGGACUACCCGCUGAACUUAAGCAUAUCAAUAAGCGGAGGA